Molecule: ribosomal RNA, 249 nt
Filed under: uncultured bacterium
Lineage: Bacteria
Description: partial 16S ribosomal RNA
Rfam family: Bacterial small subunit ribosomal RNA
Source: RNAcentral
UUUGAUGGCGACCGGCGCACGGGUGAGUAACACGUAUCCAACCUGCCGAUGACUCGGGGAUAGCCUUUCGAAAGAAAGAUUAAUACCCGAUGGCAUAGUUCUUCCGCAUGGUAGAACUAUUAAAGAAUUUCGGUCAUCGAUGGGGAUGCGUUCCAUUAGGUUGUUGGCGGGGUAACGGCCCACCAAGCCUUCGAUGGAUAGGGGUUCUGGGAGGAAGGUCCCCCACAUUGGAACUGAGACACGGUCCAA